CAGGAUCAAACGGCCUAGGCUGCAGGUGGUCAAGAGGCUGAACUUCAGGUCGGAGGAGAUGGAGGAGCCGCCCCCUCCCGACUCCUCGCCGACGGACAUCACCCCGCCGCCGAGCCCUGAGGACCUCGCAGAGCUUUGGGGCCACGGAGUCUCAGACGCUGCUGCCGACGUGGGUCUCACACGGGCCUCACCAGCUGCCCGCAAUCCCGUCCUGAGGCGGCCCCCCAUCUUGGAGGACUAUGUCCACGUGACAUCCACGGAGGGCGUCCGGGCUUAUCUGGUGCUGCGUGCUGACCCCAUGGCCCCGGGGGUGCAGGGCUCUCUCCUCCAUGUCCCAUGGCGAGGCGGUGGCCAGCUGGACCUGCUGGGUGUGUCCUUUGCCUCCCUGAAGAAGCAGGUCGACGGCGAGGUAGGGGCUGCGGGUUUACUGGGGGCUGGUGGCGGGGCCGCCUGAGCCCUCCUGAUUCCAGCCUGUUUGCACAGCGGCGGGAGCGGCUGCUUCAGGAGGCCCAGAGGCUUUCAGACACCCUGCACAGUCUCAGGUCGGGGGAGGAGGAGGCAGCCCAGCCCUUGGGGGCCCCUGAGGAGGAGCUGACUGACGGCCAAGACGCCUCCAGUCAAUGCCUCUGGGUGGAUGAGUUUGCACCCCGCUACUACACGGAGCUGCUCAGUGAUGACGUGAGUUCACCAACCGCUGCCUGCUCAAGUGGCUGAAGUUGUGGGACCUGGUGGUGUUUGGCCACCAGAGGCCUGCCCGGAAGCCCAGGCCCAGUGUUGAGCCGGCCCGGGUCAGCAAGGAGGCCACAGCCCCAGGCAAGUGGAAGAGCCACGAACAGGUGCUGGAGGAGAUGCUGGAGGCUGGGCUGGACCCGAGCCAGCGACCGAGGCAGAAG
This 893-nucleotide small RNA is filed under the name Pan troglodytes (chimpanzee). Its description in RNAcentral is "processed transcript". Lineage: Eukaryota; Metazoa; Chordata; Mammalia; Primates; Hominidae. The record is from RNAcentral.